Molecule: ribosomal RNA, 253 nt
Filed under: uncultured bacterium
Lineage: Bacteria
Description: partial 16S ribosomal RNA
Rfam family: Bacterial small subunit ribosomal RNA
Source: RNAcentral
UACAGAGGGUGCAAGCGUUGUUCGGAAUUAUUGGGCGUAAAGGGCGCGUAGGCGGUGCGGUAAGUCUGUAGUGAAAUCUCUGGGCUCAACUCAGAGUCUGCUGCAGAAACUGCCGGGCUUGAGUAUGGGAGAGGUGAGUGGAAUUUCCGGUGUAGCGGUGAAAUGCGUAGAUAUCGGAAGGAACACCUGUGGCGAAAGCGGCUCACUGGACCAUUACUGACACUGAGGCACGAAAGCUAGGGGAGCAAACAGG